RNAcentral lists this ribosomal RNA (255 nucleotides) under uncultured bacterium. RNAcentral's name for it is "partial small subunit ribosomal RNA". It matches the Rfam family "Bacterial small subunit ribosomal RNA", at positions 26 to 285 of the family's 1533-position model. The record is from RNAcentral.
AGGACGAACGCUGGCGGCGUGCUUAACACAUGCAAGUCGAGCGGAAAGGCCCUUCGGGGUACUCGAGCGGCGAACGGGUGAGUAACACGUGAGUAACCUGCCCCUAGCUCUGGGAUAGCUCCGGGAAACCGGGAUUAAAUACCAGAUACGACCACUUUAGACAUCUGUCGUGGUGGAAAGGAUUCCGGCUAGGGAUGGGCUCGCGGCCUAUCAGCUAGUUGGUGGAGUAACGGCCCACCAAGGCGACGACGGGUA